Molecule: ribosomal RNA, 255 nt
Filed under: uncultured bacterium
Lineage: Bacteria
Description: partial 16S ribosomal RNA
Rfam family: Bacterial small subunit ribosomal RNA
Source: RNAcentral
UACGUAGGGAGCAAGCGUUUGUCCGGAAUCAUUGGGCGUAAAGCGCGCGUAGGCGGCCCGGUAAGUCCGUUGUAAAAGUCAAAGGCUCAACCUUUGAAAGCCGAUGGAUACUGCCGGGCUAGAAUCCGGAAGAGGCGAGUGGAAUUCCUGGUGUAGCGGUGGAAUGCGCAGAUAUCAGGAAGAACACCCGGUGGCUAAGGCGGCUCUCUAGUACGGUACUGACGCUGAGACGCGAAAGCGUGGGGAGCGAACAGG